RNAcentral lists this long non-coding RNA (539 nucleotides) under Phaseolus vulgaris (common bean). RNAcentral's name for it is "long non-coding RNA (PVUL_LNC004284)". Lineage: Eukaryota; Viridiplantae; Streptophyta; Magnoliopsida; Fabales; Fabaceae. The record is from RNAcentral.
AUAGGUCGUACAGAGUGACGAAAAGCCUCUAUGCCACGUCAUCGAUCGGGUUGCCCAAAUGGGUGGAUGACGUGGCCCCGGAUCUUGGGUGGAUGAGCCAGCGGUCGAGCUGGGUUGGAUACGUGGCCGUUUGCGAAGACAGAAGAGAGAUCGCACGGAUGGGAAGGAGAGACAUCGUUAUCUCUCUCCGCGGAACCUCCACGUGUAUGGAAUGGGCCGAGAAUCUCCGGGCCCAAUUGGUAGACCUUCCCGGAGGGCAAGGAAAGCCCAAAGUGGAGUGUGGGUUCAUGAGUCUCUACAAGACCAAAGGAGCACACGUGGCGAGUCUGUCCGAGUCCGUUGUGGAGGAAGUGAAGAGACUCGUGAAUCUCUACAGAGACGAAGAGUUGAGCAUUACCGUCACCGGACACAGCCUGGGUGCCACGCUGGCCUUACUGGUGGCCGAUGAGAUAAGCACGUGCUGCGCCGGAGUUCCACCCGUGGCUGUUUUUUCCUUCGGUGGGCCGCGCGUGGGAAACAAGGCCUUCGGAGAGCGGUUG